ACCGCGUUCGCAUUCAGCCGUUCAGCUGCCGCGCUCGCAUUCAGCCGUUCAGCUGCCGCGCUCGCAUUCAGCCGUUCAGCUGCCGCGCUCGCAUUCAGCCGUUCAGCUGCCGCGCUCGCAUUCAGCCGUUCAGCUGCCGCGCUCACAUUCAGCCGUUCAGCUGCCCCGUUCGCAUUCAGCCGUUCAGCUGCCGCGCUCACAUUCAGCUGUUCAGCUGCCGCGCUCGCAUUCAGCUGCCGCGGUCGAGCACAGUCACCGGGAAAUCAACAAUAGAACCCCAUUUAAAAAGCGAACACAUCAACGAUAAACGAGUGAACGUGAAGGAGACAUAGAAGCACAUUGGAAAAACCGUAAUUGUGCCGACCAUGAGAAUACAAAUUAACUAGCAGUGCUAUCAAUUUGGUU
Anguilla rostrata (American eel) is the source of this 405-nucleotide long non-coding RNA. RefSeq lists it as uncharacterized. The record is from RefSeq and is a predicted model, not a curated record. Lineage: Eukaryota; Metazoa; Chordata; Actinopteri; Anguilliformes; Anguillidae. The transcript has 2 exons.